This 460-nucleotide ribosomal RNA is filed under the name uncultured bacterium. Its description in RNAcentral is "partial 16S ribosomal RNA". It matches the Rfam family "Bacterial small subunit ribosomal RNA", at positions 338 to 795 of the family's 1533-position model. The record is from RNAcentral.
CCUACGGGGGACAGCAGUGAGGCAUAUUGGUCAAUGGGCGCGAGCCUGAACCAGCCAAGUAGCGUGAAGGAUGACUGCCCUACGGGUUGUAAACUUCUUUUAUAAAGGAAUAAAGUUAUGCACGUGUGCCUUUUUGUAUGUACUUUAUGAAUAAGGAUCGGCUAACUCCGUGCCCGCAGCCGCGGUAAUACGGAGGGUCCGAGCGUUAUCCGGAGUUAUUGGGUUUAAAGGGAGCGUAGAUGGGUUGUUAAGUGGGUUGUGAAAGUUUGCGGCUCAACCGUAAAAUUGCAAUUGAAACUGGAGGUCUUGAGUACAGUGGAGGUAGGCGGAAUUCGUGGUGUAGCGGUGAAAUGCUUAGAUAUCACGAAGAACUCCGAUUGCGAAGGCAGCUUACUAAACUGCCACUGACAUUGAUGCUCGAAAGUGUGGGUAUCGAACAGGAUUAGAUACCCGAGUAGUC